Molecule: long non-coding RNA, 361 nt
Organism: Xiphophorus couchianus (Monterrey platyfish)
Lineage: Eukaryota; Metazoa; Chordata; Actinopteri; Cyprinodontiformes; Poeciliidae
Exons: 3
Source: RefSeq, a predicted model, not a curated record
ACCGGGUCAGAACUGGGUCAGAACCGGGUCAGAACCUGGACACCUUCCAGGAGGUGGUCAAGGUCAGAACCGGGUCAGAACCGGGUCAGAACCUGGACACCUUCCAGGAGGUGGUCAAGGUCAGAACCGGGUCAGAACUGGGUCAGAACCGGGUCAGAACCUGGACACCUUCCAGGAGGUGGUCACGGUCAGAACCGGUCAGAACCAGUCGACUAAAUGAAACCAGAACCAGUCCAGGGCUCCUUUCAGAGUAGCUGGGUUGGUGCUGGAGGUCCGGUCUCCUGCAGGGUUCUGAUGCUUACAUGGUUCUGACCCAGAGUCCGGAUGAAGCGGUGCCGGUUCUGAUUCCACUCUGCUUCUC